AAAUGAGCCCCUUCAACUUUGACCUUUCUAAGGGCCUAGAAGAUCGUCGUGACAAAAGACCAACUAGAAAUGUCUGAACCUUGUAGAUGGCAUAAUCCAAUGAACCAAAAGACGAAAGUGAUGCACCAGUUGGUGUAUUACUAUUGGUACAUGAUGAAGACUUGGACAGUGGAGAGGCUACAGAACAUACUUCUCCAUUCAUAGCGCUUCCAGGACGAGGCACUGGUGACAACGUUCUUCUAAUCGAAGCCAUAAUAGUAACCAGGCAACUCUAAAGCAUCUCAAAGAGACUCUAGCUAAAAGUAACCAAUACAACGUUCACUGAAUUCAGCACGCUACAAU
Molecule: unclassified non-coding RNA, 342 nt
Filed under: Hevea brasiliensis (rubber tree)
Lineage: Eukaryota; Viridiplantae; Streptophyta; Magnoliopsida; Malpighiales; Euphorbiaceae
Source: RNAcentral